GUCUCAUUAGAAAAAUUGAAAGAAGCUAAAUUUGUUGGGAAAAUUUAAUAUUUUAAAAAUGAAAUAAGACAAAGAAGGAACAUGUUGAAAGAAACCUUGUGGUGUGAAAUAGAAGGUGGUGGGAAUUUUGUUGUGACUUGUGAUGUUGCAAGAGAUUAUCAAUUAUUGGAGUAGAAGGAAGGAAGGAAGGAAUAGAUGCAAAGAAGAAGAGUUUGAAGAGUUAGAGCAUAGUACACGUUGGAAUGUGAAUAAAAUGUGACAUAAGAUAGAUCUAAGGCAUGUGAUGUUUUAUCUAUAUUUGACUCUUGUGUUUGUGUUAUUGUUUGUGAAAGUACUUAAUUGCCACAC
This 348-nucleotide long non-coding RNA is filed under the name Trifolium pratense (red clover). Its description in RNAcentral is "long non-coding RNA (TPRA_LNC000406)". The record is from RNAcentral. Lineage: Eukaryota; Viridiplantae; Streptophyta; Magnoliopsida; Fabales; Fabaceae.